This 921-nucleotide long non-coding RNA is filed under the name Chrysolophus pictus (golden pheasant). RNAcentral's name for it is "lncRNA (ENSCPIG00010004414.1)". The record is from RNAcentral. Lineage: Eukaryota; Metazoa; Chordata; Aves; Galliformes; Phasianidae.
CAGGGCCAACCCAAGGCAGCUCAGGUGCAAGCAAUGUACCUGAGAGAUUGGAGAGGUGGAGCUGGGAUCCACCCCUUCCCAGACCUCAUUUAAGGGUUGGCAGCGGAGGUGAGAGUAUCUUGCUAGAGAUCCCUGCAUACUUGAGGCCCUUCUAAGGUAAGCAGCUUUUUUUCCUUUGUUUUUGUGACUAUGGCUGCUAUGUUUGGGCUUGUCCUCAUUUGUUGCAGGCAAAGGCUUUGCCACGCUGCCUUUAUUGCUGUACUUUCCAUUACAUUACAGCGCUACAAUGUGAUGCUUUGGAAAGGGUAUUAAUUUGUUGAGGUGACAGUGUUUUCUAUACCUUACUGAAGCUUCUUUCAGGUUUUUUUUUUUUCCCUCUUUCUUGGCCUACAGAAUGGUAGGACUUCACAAACUUCUUAAAUCCUUGGUUUUCCAGCCUUUGAAUGCAGAUUUCAUAAUUCGGAUGUAAAAAAUCUUGUCUUUGGCAGAUACUGUUCUUAAGCUUUGAUGGUUCUGUCCUGUCCAGAUGGACAAGAGUCAAAGGUGCUCAUCCCAUCUCAAUGGAUGUUUUUCCAAGGCUGUUUUGUGUUUCAACCAACUGGCAUAUCUGCUGGGAAGAUCUAAACUGCUUAAAUGCAAUAAUGAAAAAAGCCAUCUGCAUUCCCAGAGAUGGACAGUGAAGAAGAAAUACAGAUGAGUGGAUCCAGUCAGCUUUGAACACUAUAAUUAUCCUGGCCAACUGGACAUGAAAAAUGAUCUUCAUUCUUACAGAAAUCUGAAGCACAGUCUACUAGUCUGGAUAAGAACUCUGCUUAAAACCUGACACAGUGAACAAUUUGCUGAGCAGCAACAAGACGACCUUGUCAUCUUCAAUAAUUAGCACAUCAGAUCAGAAACUGAAAAUAAAUAUUUGGUUCCUGC